RNAcentral lists this long non-coding RNA (214 nucleotides) under Elaeis guineensis (African oil palm). Its description in RNAcentral is "long non-coding RNA (EGUI_LNC033326)". Lineage: Eukaryota; Viridiplantae; Streptophyta; Magnoliopsida; Arecales; Arecaceae. The record is from RNAcentral.
AUUUUGACAUAUGCACUAAAAACUAUCGUAUUUGAUAGGUAUAGAUUUUUAGGUUAUCCUUAGAAGAGUAUGUGAUACUACUUCUAUCCUUCUACUGAAUAAAAUGUUUGUUAGUAGACAUGCCACUGACAGUGGUAGGAUAAUUAAACUUGAGAAGUUCAAAACCUAUAAACAAUCCCAUCAUAACCUGUGAAGUGUCCACAAGUUGAUCCUC